RNAcentral lists this ribosomal RNA (402 nucleotides) under uncultured bacterium. Its description in RNAcentral is "bacterial SSU rRNA". It matches the Rfam family "Bacterial small subunit ribosomal RNA", at positions 28 to 437 of the family's 1533-position model. The record is from RNAcentral.
GACGAACGCUGGCGGCGUGCUUAACACAUGCAAGUGGAGCGACGAACCGGGGCUUGCCCCGGGGCAGAGCCGCGAACGGGUGAGUAACACGUGGGUUACCUGCCCUGAUGACCGGGACAACCCGUCGAAAGACGGGCUAAUACCGGAUGUGCCCGCAAGGGGAAAGGAGGCGUAAGCUUCCGCAUCGGGAUGGGCCCGCGGAGCAUUAGCUUGUUGGUGAGGUAAUAGCUCACCAAGGCUUCGANGCUUAGCUGGUCUGAGAGGACGAUCAGCCACACUGGGACUGAGACACGGCCCAGACUCCUACGGGAGGCAGCAGUGGGGAAUCUUGGACAAUGGGCGCAAGCCUGAUCCAGCGAUGCCGCGUGUGUGAAGAAGGCCUGCGGGUUGUAAAGCACUUUC